CCCGCACAAGCGGUGGAGCAUGUGGUUUAAUUCGAUGGUACGCGAGGAACCUUACCAGGGCUUGACAUGCGCCGGAAGCGCACCGAAAGGUGCGUGCCGCUUGCGGCCGGCGCACAGGUGCUGCAUGGCUGUCGUCAGCUCGUGCUGUGAAGUGUUGGGUUAAGUCCCGCAACGAGCGCAACCCUGCUGCCUGUUGCCACCACGAGAGGGUGGGGACUCAGGCGGGACCGCCGGUGACAACCGGAGGAAGGUGGGGACGACGUCAAGUCAUCAUGGCCCUUAUGUCCUGGGCUACACACGUGCUACAAUGGCCGGUACAGAGCGCAGCGAGGCCGCGAGGCGGAGCGAAUCGCUUAAAGCCGGUCCCAGUACGGAUUGGAGUCUGCAACCCGACUCCAUGAAGUUGGAAUCGCUAGUAAUCGCGCAUCAGCAUGGCGCGGUGAAUACGUUCCCGGGCCUU
Molecule: ribosomal RNA, 460 nt
Filed under: uncultured Spirochaeta sp.
Lineage: Bacteria; Pseudomonadati; Spirochaetota; Spirochaetia; Spirochaetales; Spirochaetaceae
Description: bacterial SSU rRNA
Rfam family: Bacterial small subunit ribosomal RNA
Source: RNAcentral